UGCGGGUCCCCUCGCACAGCUAUUUAUGACAACGGGUCAGGUGCGGAAGCAAGCAGCCCAUCAUAAACAACUGGUGCCGAGGUUCAGGCCCGCUUCU
This 97-nucleotide signal recognition particle RNA is filed under the name Neisseriaceae bacterium. Its description in RNAcentral is "signal recognition particle sRNA small type". It matches the Rfam family "Bacterial small signal recognition particle RNA". From Rfam's summary of the family: The signal recognition particle (SRP) is a universally conserved ribonucleoprotein involved in the co-translational targeting of proteins to membranes. Archaeal SRP consists of a 7S RNA and homologues of the eukaryotic SRP19 and SRP54 proteins. The record is from RNAcentral. Lineage: Bacteria; Pseudomonadati; Pseudomonadota; Betaproteobacteria; Neisseriales; Neisseriaceae.